This 429-nucleotide ribosomal RNA is filed under the name Actinomycetes bacterium. Its description in RNAcentral is "Actinobacteria bacterium partial 16S ribosomal RNA". It matches the Rfam family "Bacterial small subunit ribosomal RNA", at positions 355 to 776 of the family's 1533-position model. The record is from RNAcentral. Lineage: Bacteria; Bacillati; Actinomycetota; Actinomycetes.
UGGGGAAUUUUGGACAAUGGGCGAAAGCCUGAUCCAGCAAUGCCGCGUGCAGGAUGAAGGCCCUCGGGUUGUAAACUGCUUUUGUACGGAACGAAAAGCCUGGGGCUAAUAUCCCCGGGUCAUGACGGUACCGUAAGAAUAAGCACCGGCUAACUACGUGCCAGCAGCCGCGGUAAUACGUAGGGUGCAAGCGUUAAUCGGAAUUACUGGGCGUAAAGCGUGCGCAGGCGGUUUUGUAAGACAGUGGUGAAAUCCCCGGGCUCAAGCUGGGAACUGCCAUUGUGACUGCAAGGCUAGAGUGCGGCAGAGGGGGAUGGAAUUCCGCGUGUAGCAGUGAAAUGCGUAGAUAUGCGGAGGAACACCGAUGGCGAAGGCAAUCCCCUGGGCCUGCACUGACGCUCAUGCACGAAAGCGUGGGGAGCAAACAGG